RNAcentral lists this ribosomal RNA (301 nucleotides) under uncultured bacterium. RNAcentral's name for it is "partial 16S ribosomal RNA". It matches the Rfam family "Bacterial small subunit ribosomal RNA", at positions 509 to 809 of the family's 1533-position model. The record is from RNAcentral.
CAGUCGCCACGGUAAUACGAAGGGGGCUAGCGUUGCUCGGAAUCACUGGGCGUAAAGGGCGCGUAGGCGGGUCCUUAAGUCAGGGGUGAAACCCUGGAGCUCAACUCCAGAACUGCCUUUGAUACUGAAGAUCUUGAGUUCGGGAGAGGUGAGUGGAACUGCGAGUGUAGAGGUGAAAUUCGUAGUUAUUCGCAAGAACACCAGUGGCGAAGGCGGCUCACUGGCCCGAUACUGACGCUGAGGCACGAAAGCGUGGGGAGCAAACAGGACUAGAUACCCCGGUAGUCCCUGUCUCUUAUAU